RNAcentral lists this ribosomal RNA (442 nucleotides) under uncultured bacterium. Its description in RNAcentral is "partial 16S ribosomal RNA". It matches the Rfam family "Bacterial small subunit ribosomal RNA", at positions 338 to 795 of the family's 1533-position model. The record is from RNAcentral.
CCUACGGGAGGCAGCAGUAGGGAAUCUUUCACAAUGGGCGAAAGCUUGAUGGAGCCACGCCGCGUGCAGGAUGAAGGCCUUCGGGUUGUAAACUGCUUUUAUAAGCGAGAAAUAUGAUGGUAACUUAUGAAUAAGGAUCGGCUAACUACGUGCCAGCAGCCGCGGUCAUACGUAGGAUCCGAGCAUUAUCCGGAGUGACGGGGUGUAAAGAGGUGCGUAGGUGGACUAAUAAGUAGCUAGUGUAAUCUGGUGGCUCAACCAUUCAUACUAUUAGCUAAACUGUUAAGCUCGAGACCGUUAGGGGUAAGUGGAAUUCCUAGUGUAGGAGUGAAAUCCGUAGAUAUUAGAAGGAACACCAAUAGCGUAGGCAGGUUGCUGGCACGGUUCUGACACUAAGGCACGAAAGCGUAGGGAGCAAACGGGAUUAGAUACCCUGGUAGUC